CACUCCUGCGGGAGGCAGCAGUGGGGAAUAUUGGACAAUGGGCGCAAGCCUGAUCCAGCCAUGCCGCGUGAGUGAUGAAGGCCCUAGGGUUGUAAAGCUCUUUCACCUGUGAAGAUAAUGACGGUAACCGGAGAAGAAGCCCCGGCUAACUUCGUGCCAGCAGCCGCGGUAAUACGAAGGGGGCUAGCGUUGUUCGGAUUUACUGGGCGUAAAGCGCACGUAGGCGGACUAUUAAGUCAGGGGUGAAAUCCCGGGGCUCAACCCCGGAACUGCCUUUGAUACUGGUAGUCUUGAGUUCGAGAGAGGUGAGUGGAAUUCCGAGUGUAGAGGUGAAAUUCGUAGAUAUUCGGAGGAACACCAGUGGCGAAGGCGGCUCACUGGCUCGAUACUGACGCUGAGGUGCGAAAGCGUGGGGAGCAAACAGGAUUAGAUACCCCUGUAGUCCCAUGA
Molecule: ribosomal RNA, 450 nt
Filed under: uncultured organism
Description: partial 16S ribosomal RNA
Rfam family: Bacterial small subunit ribosomal RNA
Source: RNAcentral